UACAGAGGGGGCAAGCGUUAUUCGGAAUUAUUGGGCGUAAAGUGCGCGUAGGCGGCAUGGCAAGUGGAAGGUGAAAUCCCUCGGCUCAACUGAGGAACUGCCCUCCAAACUGCUUUGCUUGAGUCCGGGAGAGGUGAGUGGAACUGCGAGUGUAGAGGUGAAAUUCGUAGAUAUUCGCAAGAACACCAGUGGCGAAGGCGGCUCACUGGCCCGAUACUGACGCUGAGGCACGAAAGCGUGGGGAGCAAACAGG
RNAcentral lists this ribosomal RNA (253 nucleotides) under uncultured bacterium. RNAcentral describes it as "partial 16S ribosomal RNA". It matches the Rfam family "Bacterial small subunit ribosomal RNA", at positions 524 to 776 of the family's 1533-position model. The record is from RNAcentral.